AUUGAACGCUGGCGGCAGGCCUAACACAUGCAAGUCGAACGGUAACAGGAAGAAGCUUGCUUCUUUGCUGACGAGUGGCGGACGGGUGAGUAAUGUCUGGGAAACUGCCUGAUGGAGGGGGAUAACUACUGGAAACGGUAGCUAAUACCGCAUAACGUCGCAAGAACAAAGAGGGGGACCUUCGGGCCUCUUGCCAUCGGAUGUGCCCAGAUGGGAUUAGCUAGUAGGUGGGGUAACGGCUCACCUAGGCGACGAUCCCUAGCUGGUCUGAGAGGAUGACCAGCCACACUGGAACUGAGACACGGUCCAGACUCCUACGGGAGGCAGCAGUGGGGAAUAUUGCACAAUGGGCGCAAGCCUGAUGCAGCCAUGCCGCGUGUAUGAAGAAGGCCUUCGGGUUGUAAAGUACUUUCAGCGGGGAGGAAGGGAGUAAAGUUAAUACCUUUGCUCAUUGACGUUACCCGCAGAAGAAGCACCGGCUAACUCCGUG
RNAcentral lists this ribosomal RNA (490 nucleotides) under uncultured bacterium. Its description in RNAcentral is "partial 16S ribosomal RNA". It matches the Rfam family "Bacterial small subunit ribosomal RNA", at positions 30 to 507 of the family's 1533-position model. The record is from RNAcentral.